CCUACGGGGGGCAGCAGUGAGGAAUAUUGGUCAAUGGGCGCAAGCCUGAACCAGCCAAGUAGCGUGAAGGAUGACGGCCCUAUGGGUUGUAAACCUCUUUUAUAUGGGAAUAAAGUGCAGCACGUAUACUGCUUUGCAUGUACCUUAUGAAUAAGGAUCGGCUAACUCCGUGCCAGCAGCCGCGGUAAUGCGGAGGAUCCGAGCGUUAUCCGGAUUUAUUGGGUUUAAAGGGAGCGUAGGCGGGUUGUUAAGUCAGUUGUGAAAGUUUGCGGCUCAACCGUAACAUUGCAGUUGAUACUGGCAGCCUUGAGUACAGUAGAGGUAGGCGGAAUUCGUGGUGUAGCGGUGAAAUGCGUAGAUAUCACGAAGAACUCCGAUUGCGAAGGCAGCCUGCUGGACUGUAACUGACGCUGAUGCUCGAAAGUGUGGGUAUCAAACAGGAUUAGAUACCCCUGUAGUC
Molecule: ribosomal RNA, 460 nt
Filed under: uncultured bacterium
Lineage: Bacteria
Description: partial 16S ribosomal RNA
Rfam family: Bacterial small subunit ribosomal RNA
Source: RNAcentral